Molecule: ribosomal RNA, 253 nt
Filed under: uncultured bacterium
Lineage: Bacteria
Description: partial 16S ribosomal RNA
Rfam family: Bacterial small subunit ribosomal RNA
Source: RNAcentral
UACAGAGGUCUCAAGCGUUGUUCGGAUUCAUUGGGCGUAAAGGGUGCGUAGGCGGCGCGGUAAGUCGGGUGUGAAAUCUCGGAGCUUAACUCCGAACUGUCAUUCGAUACUGCCGUGCUUGAGGACUGGAGAGGAGACUGGAAUUUACGGUGUAGCGGUGAAAUGCGUAGAUAUCGUAAGGAAGACCAGUGGCGAAGGCGGGUCUCUGGACAGUUCCUGACGCUGAGGCACGAAGGUCAGGGGAGCAAACGGG